This 429-nucleotide ribosomal RNA is filed under the name uncultured prokaryote. RNAcentral's name for it is "bacterial SSU rRNA". It matches the Rfam family "Bacterial small subunit ribosomal RNA", at positions 355 to 774 of the family's 1533-position model. The record is from RNAcentral.
UGGGGAAUAUUGGGCAAUGGGCGAAAGCCUGACCCAGCGACGCCGUGUGGGCGAUGAAGGCCUUCGGGUUGUAAAGCCCUGUCGGGUGGGAAGAAGGGCUGGAGGAAGAAUACGCCUCCAGCUUUGACGGUACCACCGGAGGAAGCACCGGCUAACUCCGGGCCAGCAGCCGCGGUAAUACGGAGGGUGCAAGCGUUGUUCGGAAUUACUGGGCGUAAAGGGCGCGUAGGUGGUUGUGUAAGUCGGAUGUGAAAUCCCCAGGCUCAACUUGGGAACUGCAUCCGAUACUGCAUGACUCGAGUGCAGCAGAGGGAAACGGAAUUCCUGGUGUAGAGGUGAAAUUCGUAGAUAGCAGGAGGAACACCGGUGGCGAAGGCGGUUUCCUGGGCUGACACUGACACUGAGGCGCGAAAGCGUGGGUAGCAAACA